Long non-coding RNA from Epinephelus moara (kelp grouper), 900 nucleotides. RefSeq lists it as uncharacterized. Lineage: Eukaryota; Metazoa; Chordata; Actinopteri; Perciformes; Serranidae. The transcript has 3 exons. The record is from RefSeq and is a predicted model, not a curated record.
AGGGCUGUCCCAUUGUCAAAUCGUCAAGUCAGUGAGUGAGCCCUUUAUGCCCCCUUACCGUAGGUCAACAUCGAUACGGACUUACGGUAAGGAAAUUACCCACAGUUCAUAGCGUUGUGACGUCAAAUACGGGGGUUGCCCUCGGAACACCAGAAGUGUUAUUAAAAAAAACGAACGCACGGUCGGCAGAUAUGCAAACGUAAUGGAAGGACAGCGAAAAAAGAAGUUUACUUGGACAGAACAACAAACCAUCACCUUCAUCAGACUGAGGAUGGAACAUGAGGCGCAGUUUACUGGGCACAGGAAUGCCUCUAGUCAAGGUUUUGAGACCUGAUAUUACCGCGAACAGGGUCAGGGACCGAGUGUGGUGAGAGCACACCCGGAAACUGGCCCUAUUUUGAGGAGAUGCAUAAGGUGAUGGGGCAGAAGGACUCCAUAAAACCCCUGAACCCCAUCGCCACCGCCGUUGACACGGAUGCUGAAGAGGAGGCGACGGCGCCAGCUGCCUCAUCCAGCUCCUCUGCAGGGCCAUCCACUGCCCCUUCUUCUGGGCCAUCCGCCAGGCCAGACCCACUGCCUGGAUCCUCAAAACAAACCCCAACAAAAAGAAAAAAUGAGGUCCUGAGUAUUUGAAGGAUUAUGGGGAAAGGCAGGAGAAGAGGCAGAGGGAGCUGGACACCAGGGGGGAGGAGAGGGAGAAGAAAAGAGGCUCAGAUGGACACCCUCAUAGGGAUUCUUGGCAAAUUGGUAGAAAAGCACAAAUAGUUAUUUGUGCUUCUCUACCAGCUUGCCAUAUUUGUGUUGUUUGUUUCAUUAUAAUUUCAUUUUUCAGUGACAAUAAUGGAUGCAUUUUAUUUUUGUUUAAAACAAUAUUUCAGUUGUGUUAAUGUGAAAUAAAGA